GACGAACGCUGGCGGCGUGCUUAACACAUGCAAGUCGAACGGAAAGGCCCUGCUUUUGUGGGGUGCUCGAGUGGCGAACGGGUGAGUAACACGUGAGUAACCUGCCCUUGACUUUGGGAUAACUUCAGGAAACUGGGGCUAAUACCGGAUAGGAGCUCCUGCUGCAUGGUGGGGGUUGGAAAGUUUCGGCGGUUGGGGAUGGACUCGCGGCUUAUCAGCCUGUUGGUGGGGUAGUGGCUUACCAAGGCUUUGACGGGUAGCCGGCCUGAGAGGGUGACCGGCCACAUUGGGACUGAGAUACGGCCCAGACUCCUACGGGAGGCAGCAGUGGGGAAUAUUGCACAAUGGGCGGAAGCCUGAUGCAGCAACGCCGCGUGCGGGAUGACGGCCUUCGGGUUGUAAACCGCUUUCGCCUGUGACGAAGCGUGAGUGACGGUAAUGGGUAAAGAAGCAACGGCUAACUACGUG
RNAcentral lists this ribosomal RNA (468 nucleotides) under uncultured bacterium. Its description in RNAcentral is "partial 16S ribosomal RNA". It matches the Rfam family "Bacterial small subunit ribosomal RNA", at positions 28 to 507 of the family's 1533-position model. The record is from RNAcentral.